Molecule: long non-coding RNA, 303 nt
Filed under: Pan troglodytes (chimpanzee)
Lineage: Eukaryota; Metazoa; Chordata; Mammalia; Primates; Hominidae
Description: long non-coding RNA NONPTRT013916
Source: RNAcentral
GGCGGCGUCAUGGCUCACCACGGGUUCAGGCGUUAGCUGCUAUUGACUGUGAACCCGUGGAUUUAGGAGGAAUCCCGGAGUUGGAACUGCCCUGCUGGCAUGGAUUCUAAGAAUCCUGGCACUGCCUGGCCUCCCUGGAGGUGUGUGAGGGCGCGUCUGUGCGCAUGAGGGACAGGGCAGGGAUUGCAGUGACUGGGGGAUGACGGGACCCCCUGCCACGCUCUGCCACAGUCUUCACGGCUAUGGGAAGAGCUGCGCUCACUUAUACUCUCACGUUAACGCAGCUCACAGGCAGAUCCUCUC